Molecule: small nuclear RNA, 106 nt
Organism: Oryctolagus cuniculus (rabbit)
Lineage: Eukaryota; Metazoa; Chordata; Mammalia; Lagomorpha; Leporidae
Source: Ensembl
GUGCUUUGCAGUGCAUACACUAAAUAAAACAGGAAUGAUCCAGAGAUGAUUAGCAUGGUCCCUGGGCAAGGAUGACAAGCAAAUCUGUAAAGUGUUCUGUAAUUCC